UCGUACUUGCUUACUGUACUAGCUAGCUAGACCUAUCUGAAAUGUGUUGCUGUCCAUCUCAACUCAAGGGACACUUCUUUAAAAAUAUGCAGUAUUAACAAUGACAAUUAUUUCUCAAUGCCUAACUAUUGCAGAUAAUGGGUUGCUAUUGCAGUGCUCUCAAUUUUGUUAUUUUAAAAUCUGUAACAUUAAUCUCUAUGCAGAUAGUGAUUUACUCCUGUGCACACUCCGUACAGCAGGUCAUCCAUGACCUUCAGCAUGGUUUUGACUCAACUCAAAAAUUGCCUACUUAUCUUAAACUAGUGCUAAAUGCUAAUAAAACCAAGUUUGUUGUUCUGUAGGUCUCGUAAUGUUGACUCGUAAGGAGCUGCAUAUUUGCAUAUUGACGGGAGCCCAAAUUGAGCAAGUUCCCCAUUCUAAGUACUUAGGUAUUUGGAUUGAUGAUAAACUCUUAAAACACACUGAAAACUGACAAAAGCUGAGAAUUAAGAUUGGUUUCUUUUUAUAGAAAUAAAUCCUGUCUCUCUUUGGAAAGUAGAAGGACGAUUGUUCAAGUAACGCUUCUCCCAGUACUUGUUUAUGGUGACAUAAUCUACAUGCAUGCAGCAGCCUCUGUUUUAAAACCUUUAGAUUCAGUCGCAUAGUGGUAAUUUUCGUACAAAACACUGCAUUUUGUAUAGUUCUGUUGGCUGGGAGUCUAAUUACCAGAAGAGCCCAGCAUUGGCUACUUUUUGUAUAUAACGCGGUUCUUCAGACUCCCCCACUACCUCAGCUCAUGUAUUAAUUGGAGAUUAAGCAAUUUUCAGACCCGCURUCUGGACUGGCUAGUUCUGGAGGUCCCGCAGGUCUACAUUGACCUGGGGGAAAAUGCUUUUAUUUUUUAUGCCCCCAGCUCAUGGAAUAGCCUUCAGGCCACAUUGAAAUUGGACUCACUGGUCUCCAUUGGACAGUUUAGAUGGAGGGUCCAAAGGGUGUGAUGAGGAUGCUGGUGAAAGGACUUCAUUUGAGCAGAACGCCAGCGAGAAAGACGACCAACUGGAUCAAAAUAGACCACUGGCAGAAGAAGUAGAGGGACUUGAACAGAACAGGUCAGGCCACAGAGAGAAGGAUAGUGGACUAGAGUUAGUGAAGACUGAGCAGGAAGAGUAUGAUGUUAUUUCACUACAUUCAUCAGGAAGUGAACAUGGCACAGAGAGAUCAGAUCAUGAGGAAACUGAGUUUGCUGUGGAUGAGAGAGAGAGCCAGCUCUGGGCGUCUUUAACAGAGCGCAACUGUGACUCAGAGGGUCCAGAUUGCAUUUAUGGUACAGAACAAUAUCCACUGGAUCAAGAUACAGACAUACAGCUCAUUCAAAGUGCAGUGGAGGAUCCCAAUAGCGGUCCAUCAGAGAUGGGUGACAUUAGCGGAGUUAUGAAAGAGAUGCGAGCACAGUCUGUUUGGAAUGACAGAAGGACCCCUACAGAUUUGGCUCAGGCACAGCCAGGACAGCACAGAGAAACCAUGCACCCAGAGAGAAGGCAGGAUGGGACAACUAUCAGAGUGCCGUCAGACAAACAAACACUAGCCAAUGAGGGUGCAGGAUAUUCCAAUGUUUGGCUAAACAAUGUAUUCUCACUUGCCCCAAAUUGUUCAAAUGGUUUCAACUCAGCAAAAUUAUCCCAAAGGAGAACCCCAGCAAGAGAGAAGUGGUUUGUUUGCUCCUUCUGUGGAAAGAGCUUUGACCGGGUCGGUCACCUGGAGAUGCAUCAGCGGAUUCAUACAGGAGAGAAACCGUACAGCUGUGUGAUGUGCGGAAGGUGUUUCGCUCAGCAGAGUAAUCUCCGCAGACACCAGCGAGUACACAGGGGCCUCACAACAAAGCAAACUGUCUACUGAUCGUUAUCACCAUGACGAGACAACUAAGAACAUUGUGGAACAACAUUUUCUAAUGACUGAGAACAGAGUUGAUAAGACCAUCAAGACACUCUGGCAGAAAGCAGCAGUGUGUUACUUUUGUCUUCCCAUUCUAUAAAGUGAGAGCAGUGAGACCCUACCACAACUGUUGCACUAGUGGUGCUUAUAUACUGUAGUGAGGGAUCAGAGUUGCAGGUUUACAGCUUCCUGCUUGGAAUGCUUAAGA
Salvelinus sp. IW2-2015 is the source of this 2119-nucleotide non-coding RNA. NCBI's taxonomy places the organism in Eukaryota, Metazoa, Chordata, Actinopteri, Salmoniformes, Salmonidae. The record is from RefSeq and is a predicted model, not a curated record.